CCUUACAAGAUUCCUUGGUUGGUCAAGCUGCUAUUCGAGACACCCUCCGGCUUUGCACUUUUCUCUUUUGACGAGAACUAUCUCAAGAAAGGCAUUGAGCACAUCUGGAUAUACUUCGUGGGCAGCUACUGGCACAAAAAUAUCCUCAGGCUCCAUGAAUUCCGAAAGUUCGAGGACAAGCCCAAUGUCAUUAACCUUACUGCCCAGACAAUAGACGUCGGCCUGACCCAGAUGCUCUGG
Lolium rigidum is the source of this 240-nucleotide long non-coding RNA. RefSeq lists it as uncharacterized. Lineage: Eukaryota; Viridiplantae; Streptophyta; Magnoliopsida; Poales; Poaceae. The record is from RefSeq and is a predicted model, not a curated record. The transcript has 3 exons.